GACUCACUAGCAUUGGGGUACAGGGAUAAAGGAGGGGUUGUGUCCCCCAGUACUUUGAGAGAUCCAUUGCGUUAUGCCCCAGUGGACUCUCCCUUGAUUCAAACAAAGCAGACAGCACAGCCUGCCGCAGGUGCUCUCAGCGGUGACCCCAGCAGGCCGCAGCGGGAGGGGCGGGCGUCUGUCCUGCUCGGCGCCGCGCUCCCGCCUUUCUGAGUUGCCGGGAUGGCGGCGGUUGGCGUGUGGUGUGUGACAGGGCCGUGGCGGCCGCUGCUGCCAGAACAUGUGCAGCAGGAGAGCGGGGAUCUUGUCUAUGGUAGGAAAAGGGGAAGCAAGGUUAAAAGAAUGAAGCCAGCAAAGGAAAAAAGUAGUGCUUUGGGCGGAUUUGGUGUGAAAGUUCCUUGGUUUGGAAAUCAUCUUGCAAAGACUGUGGGAAAUGCUGCCCUAUGUGAGGUUCUAAACUGGCAGGCAGAGUACCUUUGUGCAUGAUGCGGAAACAUCAUUGUUACUUCACAGGCUGCUGGGAACACACUGAAGGCAAAUGGAUCAGACUGAGGAUGGUAUGCUGCUGGAAGAUACAGAUCAGAAGCAGUCAUCUUCUGUGGGCUGGAAAGUGAGAACUGUAACAGUAUAAAAACCAUUUGUAGGCUUUCUGUGCU
This 656-nucleotide long non-coding RNA is filed under the name Gallus gallus (chicken). RNAcentral's name for it is "long non-coding RNA NONGGAT011868". The record is from RNAcentral. Lineage: Eukaryota; Metazoa; Chordata; Aves; Galliformes; Phasianidae.